Long non-coding RNA from Equus caballus (horse), 2300 nucleotides. NCBI's taxonomy places the organism in Eukaryota, Metazoa, Chordata, Mammalia, Perissodactyla, Equidae. The record is from Ensembl.
UAAUUGUUAUUUCUUUUUUUAAUGAAGAUUCUUUUGCUUUCUGGGGCACAUUCCUUUAGUGCAGGGUGAUUAAAGUUGCAGGUUAAAUUAAUAUUAGUAAUGAGCUAAUCUUACCCUUGGGAGCUUGUCCAGCUGGGCCCAAGGUAAUCACAAGGCCCUUAAAAGUGAAAAAGGGAAUCCAAAGAGAAAACCAGAGAGAAGGCAGCAUGAGAAGAAUUAAGCUCAAUGUCACUGGCUUUGCAGAUGUAUGAACGGGGCACAGAGAAGGAAUAAGUGCAGCUUCUAGAAGCUGACAGGGGCAAGAGGACUGAUUGUCCCUUGGAGCCUGCAGAAAGAACAUAGCCAUUCCAACAUCUUAAUUUUAGCCCAUCGAGACCCAUUUUGGACUUCUGACCUCCAAAAGUAUCCUCCAAAAGGAACUCAAUUGUCAUAAGUUCCCUCGGGCGUUCCAUCCACUGGGGAGAAGGAUUAUCGUCUCUGGAGAGGAGAUCGCAAGUGGACAGUGACGGGGUUGAGGGUGGGCCGCCCCAAGAUGUACCACUCUGGGAUGCAGGCUGUUUCGAGCUGAAGACCACAAAGGUUCAAAAGACUCAGGAAGAGCAUCCGACCUUCACCCCUCAAACUGCCUAAAGGACUUGAACAGACAAGGCCUGUUCCAGGAAGGGGCUCAUAUCGGGUGAUAGCUAUAGCAUGAUGUAAAAUAGGUGUGAUAAAAGGACACCAGCAAACCCAUUUUUUGGGCCUAGCAAAACCUGUUUAACAAACAUUUGCAUUCCAUCUCUAGGUAGAUUGUUUUCCUCCCGUUUGAAGUCCCAGAUCACUGUGUCCUCCUGGUCUGUAGCUGAGGAUACUUAAACGGGUGGACUCAGCCAGAUGGCAGAGUUACUCAGUUUCCUCUGGUUUUCUCCCAUGUAUACAUGCCAUUAAUUUGUUUGAUUUUCUCUUGCUAACCUGCCUCUUUGAUUAUUUAACCAGCCAUAAGAACCUUAAGGAAAAGUGGUGGGGGCAAUUCUCCUACUUCCCCGACAACAGCACACCCAGACAAACUGUGUCACAAACCGUCACACCCCCAUCUAUUCUUCUAAGAGCCCAUUCAUCUUUCCUAAAAACUGUGCUUUCCCUAAGAGCCUGACGUCUCCUCUCCUCUUUCCUAGUAAGAUGGCGUUUAAUCCUGAAUUCUAAGAGUUACUCAUUUUUCCCUGGGUGUCACCCAUGUUUGUUUUUCUUGUUAAUCUGUCUUUUAUUAUAGGAGUGUCAGUUAAGAACUCAGAAAUGAAAAGGGAAAAUUAUUUUUCUUCCCCUACAGUGAAAUAAUGGGGAAGAUGUGGAAUGUGAAACCACUUUUACUGCUCCAAUGGAAUCCUAGAUUUGUAUAAACAUUCUUUCAUAAGAACAAAUGACCAAGGAGGAAAGAAAGAAACAACAAGGAUUACUUUAAAAGAAGUAUCCAGACAAGUAAAUGAAACAGCUUUGGUGAGCCUCUGGAGGACUAUUACACGUUGCUAUUCAAGCACGAGAAAGCACAUCAAGCUCAUAAUAAGAUGAGAUAUCUGCUGUUUCUGCUGUCUGGCUGUUCUUUUAGAUAUUAUUUAAAUUAAAAUUAUCGAAGUCAUCCAAAAGUCUCUGAAGUAUUUCUGUGAGUUCACUCUCCCAACAAUGAGCUAUAACUGAAAAAUGAUGCCAUUCCUGGAAUUCAGAAAAAUAUGAUCUUCAUGAAUCAUUGGAAGUUUCCAGUGGCAAUAGAAAUUCUGAACCGAAGACACAUAACUUAGAACAUCUGUCAGUGAAUGAUGACUUCCCUCACAACUAUGCAGCAGCAUCCAUGAUCAAUUGUGCAUGAGCUGAGUCAAGGUGGAGCUCAGCCAAGACCUUCACCCCACAAGAACAGUGAGGGUGGGACCGACUGCUGACACUGCGCUGAGGCACAGCCAAAGUGCGUGAAUCACAAUGAGGCUGCAGUCACCGCAGUCACAAUUAGUCAGCAGUGGAGUGGUGCAGCCUUCUGGAAAUCUGCAACUGGCUUGAAAGCAAUAGUGCAAGGAGAUAUGUGAACUCUUCAUCCCUUUUGUUUCUUAAGAAAAAGGAUAAAUUUGUAAAAUGUAAAGGGCCCACAAAACGUAGUAGAAAAGAAAUUGACUUUAGAGUCAUCUGACCUGGGAUUAUAUUAAAGGUCUACAUCUUACUGAGAAAUUACCUAGCCUCUCUGAACCUCAUUUUACCCUCCUGCUACCUAGUCUUUAGUUGUUGCGAAGAAUAGACAUAAUUUACUUAUGUAAGGACCCAUUGGGCCAUCAAUAACU